This 305-nucleotide long non-coding RNA is filed under the name Sorghum bicolor (sorghum). RNAcentral describes it as "long non-coding RNA (SBIC_LNC017942)". Lineage: Eukaryota; Viridiplantae; Streptophyta; Magnoliopsida; Poales; Poaceae. The record is from RNAcentral.
UGGUUAUUUUAGAAAAAAAAAGAGUAGCUAUUGUAUCUGGCUGUCUAAAAUAACAAGUCAUGUAUCUCGGAAUUUUCGCAUGCUAGAUAUAGCUUGCAUAUACUGCUAGCCAUUCACUUCAUCCUAUUAGAAAGGUUGUUGGAGUUUUGUGUUUUUUUUUUUGCUCGAGUUUUUAUUUUGAAGGUUAGCUAAAUCAUGAGUUUAGCUAUUUAUUUUUACCAACUCUGUUGGAGUUGCUCUUACACCUAAAAUUUAAAAACUUUUCAAGGUUCUUUGUCACAUCAAAUUUUGCGGCACAUGUAUAG